Small nucleolar RNA from Phoenix dactylifera (date palm), 143 nucleotides. RefSeq annotates it as small nucleolar RNA F1/F2/snoR5a. The record is from RefSeq and is a predicted model, not a curated record. Lineage: Eukaryota; Viridiplantae; Streptophyta; Magnoliopsida; Arecales; Arecaceae.
GAAUGCCAUGAGGUAUCUGAUGCUCAGUCUAAUCGAUGGCUGUGCUUCUCGUUAGAGUGGCAGAUAAGGAGGCGAACAGGUCUUGCGACACUGGUUGCUCUUCUUUCCAUGAGCUUCCUGUUACUUUUACCCUGCUUACAUCU